AGAGUUUGAUCCUGGCUCAGAGCGAACGCUGGCGGCAGGCCUAACACAUGCAAGUCGAGCGCCGUAGCAAUACGGAGCGGCAGACGGGAGAGUAACACGUGGGAACGUACCCUUUGGUUCGGAACAACCCAGGGAAACUUGGGCUAAUACCGAAUAAGCCCUUACGGGGAAAGAUUUAUCGCCGAAGGAUCGGCCCGCGUCUGAUUAGCUAGUUGGUGGGGUAACGGCCCACCAAGGCGACGAUCAGUAGCUGGUCUGAGAGGAUGAUCAGCCUCAUUGGGACUGAGACACGGCCCAAACUCCUACGGGAGGCAGCAGUGGGGAAUAUUGGACAAUGGGCGCAAGCCUGAUCCAGCCAUGCCGCGUGGGUGAUGAAGGCCCUAGGGUUGUAAAGCCCUUUCGGCGGGGAAGAUAAUGACGGUACCCGCAGAAGAAGCCCCGGCUAACUUCGUGCCAGCAGCCGCGGUA
Molecule: ribosomal RNA, 468 nt
Filed under: uncultured Pseudomonadota bacterium
Lineage: Bacteria; Pseudomonadati; Pseudomonadota
Description: bacterial SSU rRNA
Rfam family: Bacterial small subunit ribosomal RNA
Source: RNAcentral